GGCCUAUCAGCUUGUUGGUGAGGUAGUGGCUCACCAAGGCGACGACGGGUAGCCGGCCUGAGAGGGCGACCGGCCACACUGGGACUGAGAUACGGCCCAGACUCCUACGGGAGGCAGCAGUGGGGAAUAUUGCACAAUGGGCGAAAGCCUGAUGCAGCGACGCCGCGUGAGGGAUGACGGCCUUCGGGUUGUAAACCUCUUUCAGCAGGGAAGAAGCGAAAGUGACGGUACCUGCAGAAGAAGCGCCGGCUAACUACGUGCCAGCAGCCGCGGUAAUACGUAGGGCGCAAGCGUUGUCCGGAAUUAUUGGGCGUAAAGAGCUCGUAGGCGGCUUGUCACGUCGGUUGUGAAAGCCCGGGGCUUAACCCCGGGUCUGCAGUCGAUACGGGCAGGCUAGAGUUCGGUAGGGGAGAUCGGAAUUCCUGGUGUAGCGGUGAAAUGCGCAGAUAUCAGGAGGAACACCGGUGGCGAAGGCGGAUCUCUGGGCCGAUACUGACGCUGAGGAGCGAAAGCGUGGGGAGCGAACAGGAUUAGAUACCCUGGUAGUCCACGCCGUAAACGGUGGGCACUAGGUGUGGGCAACAUUCCACGUUGUCCGUGCCGCAGCUAACGCAUUAAGUGCCCCGCCUGGGGAGUACGG
RNAcentral lists this ribosomal RNA (640 nucleotides) under uncultured Streptomyces sp. RNAcentral's name for it is "bacterial SSU rRNA". It matches the Rfam family "Bacterial small subunit ribosomal RNA", at positions 235 to 885 of the family's 1533-position model. Lineage: Bacteria; Bacillati; Actinomycetota; Actinomycetes; Kitasatosporales; Streptomycetaceae. The record is from RNAcentral.